Phyllostomus discolor (pale spear-nosed bat) is the source of this 108-nucleotide small nuclear RNA. Lineage: Eukaryota; Metazoa; Chordata; Mammalia; Chiroptera; Phyllostomidae. The record is from RefSeq and is a predicted model, not a curated record.
GCGCUCGCUUCAGCAGCACAUGAACUCAAAUUGCAAUGAUACAGAGAAGAUUAGCAUGGCCCCUGUGCAAGGAUGACAUGCAAAUUCGUGAAGCUAUUCCAUAAUUGU